UUAAUGGAGAGUUUGAUCCUGGCUCAGGACGAACGCUGGCGGCGUGCCUAAUACAUGCAAGUCGAGCGGAGUUAUUCCUUCGGGGAUAACUUAGCGGCGGACGGGUGAGUAACACGUAGGCAACCUGCCUGUAAGACUGGGAUAACUACCGGAAACGGUAGCUAAGACCGGAUACACGAUUUGAUCGCAUGAUCG
This is a ribosomal RNA of Paenibacillus selenitireducens, 195 nucleotides long. It matches the Rfam family "Bacterial small subunit ribosomal RNA", at positions 1 to 196 of the family's 1533-position model. The record is from Rfam. Lineage: Bacteria; Bacillati; Bacillota; Bacilli; Caryophanales; Paenibacillaceae.